GCUAUUGUAAACAGUGCUGCAAUAAACACGGCUGGGCAUAUAUCUGUUCGUGUAAAGGCUCUUAUUUCUCUAGGGUAUAUUCCGAGGAGUGGGAUUUCUGGGUUGUAUGGUAGUUCUACUUGUAACUUUUUAAGAAAGCGCCAGAUAGAUUUCCAAAGUGGUUGUACCAUUUUACAUUCCCACCAGCAGUGUAUAAGAGUUCCAAUCUCUCCGCAGCCACUCCAACAUUUAUUCUUUUGUGUUUUUUGGAUUAAUGCCAGCCUUGUUAGAGUGAGAUGGAACCUCAUCGUAGUUUUAAUUUGCAUUUCUCUAAUGGCUAACGAUCGAGAGCAUUUUCUCAUGUGUCUGUUAGCCACCUGAAUAUCUUCUUUAGUGAAGUGCAUGUUCAUAUCCUUUGCCCACUUUUUGAUUGGGUUGUUUCUCUUUUUGUAGUUGAGUUUUACAGAAUCAUACAGAUUUUAGAGAUCAGGCGCUGGUCAGUGAUUUCAUAGCUGAAAAUUUUUUCCCAAUCUGUAGGUGGUCUUUUUACUCUUUUGGUGAAGUCUUUAGAUGAGCAUAGGUGUUUGAUUUUUAGGAGCUCCCAGUUAUCUGGUCUCUCUUCGUCAUUUUUAGUAAUGUUUUGUAUUCUGUUUACGCCUUGUAUUAGGGCUCCUAACGUUAUCCCUAUUUUUUGUUCCAUGAUCUUUAUCAUUUUACUCUUUAUGUUUAGGUCUUUGAUCUACUUGGAGUUAGUUUUUGUGCAUGGUGUGAGGUAUGGGUCCUGUUUUAUUUUUUUGCAAAUAGAUAUCCAGUUAUGCCAGCACCAUUUGUUAAAAAGACGAUCUUUUCCCCAAUUAACUGACACUGGGCCUUUGUCAAAUAUCAGCUGCUCAUACGUGGAUGGAUUUAUAUCUGGGUUCUCAAUUCUGUUCCAUUGGUCUAUGUGUUUGUUGUUGUACCAAUACCAGGCUGUUCUGACUACUGUGGCUGUAUAAUAUGUUCUAAAAUCAGGUAGAGUGAGGCCUCCCACUUUCUUCUUUUUCAGUAAUGCUUUAUUACUGAACAUUUUGAUCAAGGGUUCUAUAGAGGUAUCCUGAUCAAAAUGAGGGAAAUGCACAACAGAAGUUCGAAAUUCUCUUGGAUGCCAUGGAGGCUGGAUGAACCCUUGAAACUACUGCCCCGAGAUAACCUUUAAAUCUUUAACCAAAAAUAUUCCCUGAAGCCUUCUUAAAAUCAACCAAUAGUUUAGCUGAACUAGUAAAAAAUGUCUGCCUUGAGCAUUAUGCUCAUUUUAUGGAAUCAAAUUGACAACAACUCAAAAGAUUAGAUAGGAACCUUAGUGAGCAGUGAGCUUAUGUUAAUGGGGGAGGAGCAACUCAGAAAAGGAGGGUGAGAAUGGUUGCACAACUUGAAGAAUGUAAUCAAUGUCACUGAAUUGUACAUGUAGAAAAUGUUGAUUUGGUGUUAUGCUUUGCUGUGUAUAUUCUCAACAACAAAAUAAAUAAAACUUUUAAAUAAGAAAGGCCUGGGGGGAUAAUGAGAAAGUCAGUGUGGCAGAAAAAAUGUCCAUGAGAGACUGGAAUAGCAAGUUGGAACCAAACUGUGAAGAGAUUGUGUGUGACCAGGGCCAUUGGCAGAGGCUGUUUAGCAGGGGUUACAUGAUCAGAUGUUUUGAGAAUGGCCACUCUGGAAGUACAAGGAGCAUGCUGGCUGUCCAUGCAAGAGCUAUAGUAGGACCAGGGAAUGAAGAAGAGAGGCUUGGGGAAGGAGGUUUGUGUAAGGGAAGGGGCUGUGGAGGAGCUCCAUUCUGAGGGGCUCAUUCCUGUGAAGAGAAUAUGGGGCAGGGAAACCCAUCCGGAGCUCCGUAGUGAGUGUGGGCUGGAGAGGCUGGCUUGGAAGUAAUCAGCUAAUCGUGGUAUUUGAGGCCACAGGGAUGGAGGAGGGUGUGUGAUGAAAGAGAACAAAGUUAAGCAUAUAAGUGACAGAGGGGACAUCUGUGAAAGUUAAAGUAGAAACAGAGAGGAGAGAACAGUAAAAGGCAUCAAAAACAGGAGGUGAUGAAGUAUGCCAAGUGCAGAGGCAAGUAAGAUGAGGCCUAGAAAAUGUGCCCUGCCUUGUAGAUUGAGAGGUAACUGAUGGUCUGUCUCAGCAGUUUCCAUUGGAGCAGUUUCCAUUCAGCAUCGAGAGCAGGAGCAAGAUGGCAGAUGCCGUGCAGAGCUAGGCCCUGGGUGAAAGGCACAUAUGAGACAAAUUACCCUCUUCCAAAGCAGUCCUUCUGGACAACGGUUACGUGCUAGGCUGCUAACUGUAAGGCUGGCAGUUUGAAGCUUCAAAUCCACCCAGCAACUCCUUGGAAGAAAGACCUGGCGAUCUCCUCCUGUAAAGAAAACCCUAUAGGGCAGUUCUACUCUGUCACGCUGGGUCACUAUGUGUCAAAAGCAACUCAGUAGCACAUAACUACAACUCCCUUACAAAGUUGUCUUCUUUUUAUCGUUUUGAAUGAUCUAAUUUUUUAGGUCCCUGUACAUUCUCUCUUGCUCAGACUCUCGUUCAUUUUUGAGACGGGCAUUUAUUUAUGUCAUAUGAACCAAGACUACAGGUGAGUUAGGGAACUCUGCCUGCUCGUGGAGACACCUCUAGCCAAGUGGGAGCAGAGCAUGUUGAACUCGAUUGGAUGUGUUUUUAGAAUGAUUUGUCCAAAUAGGGUAUGGAUAGAAGUCCAGUCCAACAGACAAUGCUGGCAAAGGAGGCCCUACAACGCUGGCUCCCCUUAACAAAAUACACGCACAUUUAUAUUCUUGAGAGUACACACCCUGUACCUGUGUGGAUUAAGUAAGAACACCUAAGCCCUCGUUAUGACUAUGUGAAAGGUGACAAGGUGAGACUUUAACUGAUAGUGAGAGGGAAGAGAAGUCACAAAAAUGAUUUUGUUUUACUAUUCAUUCAUUCAUUCACUUAUUUCUUAGGAGGAUUUCCUAAGUGCUCUAAGUUUCAGGGUAGAGGAGAGAAAAGUUGAGGGAGUUUGGCCUGGGGUAAUUUUUUUCAGUGCCAGAUGAGGAUGAGUAGCUUCCUCAAGGUCACAAAGCACCAGGUGAUGUGGAGUCAGAAAAAAAGCAGUUUCCAGUUCGGGCUUUACCCACACUUACAAGCUGAGCAAGCUACUUAACUUCUAGCAAGCUACUUACUUCCCACAACUGUAUAAUGGGGUAACUUCACAGGGUUGUUGGGAGACCAAAACCACACAUUCUCUGAAUUCCUAAUAAAAACCAAACCAAACCCAGUGCCGUCAAGUCGAUUCCAACUCAUAGCGACCCUAUAGGACAGAAUAGAACUGCCCCAUAGAGUUUCCAAGGAGCGCCUGGUGGGUUUGAACUGCCGACCCUUUGGUUAGCAGCUGUAGCACUUACGCCACCAGAGUUUCCAAAUUCCUAAUAGGCUCAUGACAAACCAUUAAUAGCAAUGAUAAUAUGCCAGAAACUGAAUUUAUCGUAAGAAUUCUUAUUUGCUUAUCACAACCCUGCAAAACAGACACUAUUAGUAUACUGGUUUCAGAGAUUAAGAAACUGAGGUUUAGAGAGAUUAAAUAACAUUAUGAAUAUUGCAACUAAGUGGCAGAACCAGGAUACAUAAAUCCUUUUCAAGGUUUUCUGUAGAAAAGAUUAGGGUCACAUAAGUGCAUUUAGUUCUAGUAAUAAAAGUAUUACUAAUGUCUUUGGCUAAAAGAAUUCACUUUGAAGCUGUUGCUUCGUCUUUCACUAGAAAUCAGAACACAAUCCUACCCUAGAGGAGAGGGAACAGAAAUUAAAAAAAAAAAAAAAAAAAGGGCAAAAAUGUGCACAAUGUAUCUUUAAAACAGGUAAGGGAUUGGGGCAGGCUCUUAUUUCAAUGUCUUCCUCUUGGAGAAAGUUCGAGCAUGCAAGGUAUUUUCCGAAAACAGGACAUUUAAAAAGUACUUUACCAUUUCAGAUUGGGGGACUGCUUAUGCCUUAUCUGCAGAUUUGAGAAUAUGGUGAUGCUCAAAGGUAACCUCACAUCACUAAAAAUAGACUGGAUGGGACCCACCCGCAAAAAGGAAACAGAACGCCACGUGCUACGGUUUCAGGAGAACAUGUGCCAAGGUUUUCGUGACCCAGUUACUAUGUUCUCACCUAGGCCCCUGUAUGCGCCCCGAGGGCCGAAAUGUGGACACGAAGCCUUUUUUCUUUGGGUUACAGGAAUAUGGUAUCACCCAUUUUACACCCAAGGUGGAGCAAGGUCGGGGACGCGUGGGGCCUGAUCUCCCAGGAUGGGGUAUUGGCGUUGACCUUGACAAGCAGCGCGACCUUGAAGCCUAUGCGCACCUCAGUUGCCCCCUCUGUGCAAUGGGGAGACGAGACCUCAUCGCCUGGAUAGAGUCCGAGCUGCAUGCCUGCGCUCUGGCCUCCAUCCCGUCCCCUGCGCUUCGCUCGCCCCGGCGCUGUCCUCCGGUUCCCGUCAGGAAUCCUUCCCCCACACCCCCUUCUCCUCCAACCCAGUGCCGCAGCCACAGCGACGCGGCCCGCGGGCGGGAACCUGUUUCCCGUCCAUCACGAGCCAGCGUUCCGCCCUUUCCCUGCCCGCCGGCGCCGGGGUCUCCGUCUAUAGGCCAGUAGUGCCAUCAUUCUAACUGGGACGCGGUCGCGACUGGUAGCUGCGGGGCGCGCGACCGGCCUGUGGGCGGGGCCCAGGCCCGCUAUAAAAGGGGCGGGUCGGCCACGCUCGUGCCGCUUUGCAGACGCCGCUCCCUGAAUUCGCAUCCUCGUGUGGUUGUCCCGCGCCCAGCCAUGGUCAACCCCACCGUGUACUUCGACAUCGCCGUCGACGGCGAGCCCCUGGGGCGAGUCUCCUUCGAGAGCUGAUGACUGAUAAAGACCCUAGUGGAAACGUGACCUUAUGCUUGAUGCUGGACACACAGCCUCUCAGAGGAACUAGACAGGACUUCAGUGAAAAUGAGACCAGGAGCUCCUGUGGUCCGUUGGUGAGGAUGGAAGUGGAACAGCUACCAACAAGGACUUUUUGCUUUUAAAGAGGAAAAAAACAGCAAUGUAAAAGAAAUACGGACAACAAAGCUUUGAGAAAAUUGUUCGCAGAUAAAGUUCCAAAGACAGCAG
RNA transcript from Loxodonta africana (African savanna elephant), 5108 nucleotides. It is a transcript of the gene named peptidylprolyl isomerase A, with no coding region annotated. The record is from RefSeq and is a predicted model, not a curated record. Lineage: Eukaryota; Metazoa; Chordata; Mammalia; Proboscidea; Elephantidae. The transcript is spliced from 3 exons.